Molecule: long non-coding RNA, 747 nt
Organism: Papaver somniferum (opium poppy)
Lineage: Eukaryota; Viridiplantae; Streptophyta; Magnoliopsida; Ranunculales; Papaveraceae
Exons: 2
Source: RefSeq, a predicted model, not a curated record
CAAAAAAAAUCGGUUUAGUACUCGUUUAGUUUUAACGGCGGACUCCAACGCAAACUGUUUCUCUCUUCUACUACAUAUACGUAGGCAAAUGAAUUAGAUAGAUGAAUUAAUUGAAGGAGUGAUCAGGCAAAUGAAUCGAUUGAAGAGAAAUUGGAGGAAUAAAAUAGGUAUAAAAGAGGCUAUACAUUGAGGCGCAAACACCAACAGUUGACACCUCUUCAUCACCAGAAACACGCCGGGAAGGUGUUCGACAAAAUUCUCAAACCAACUCUCUUUGCCUGGUUGCACGUUAUUCAUUUCUUAACUGCGGCAAUAACUCUUAAUAGUGUGAUUGUUCUUUUCUCAUAGAUUAGGGAUGAAGGAGAAGUGUCCCAAUGCUUUGUCGAUGCUUGGGAGCUUAGAGCUUCAAAAUGAUGAUUGGGUCGAGGCAAAUGACAGAUUCCAGGCUGCCAAAAAAGCAAGUGAUGAAAAUGAUUCUUUUAAUUCUAGCAUAGCUGCCGUGAAAAUUGAUCUGAACCUAUGUGUACCAGCAACUUGGUGAGUGAGUGGGCUUGGUCAAUUGAAUUUCUUCGUGAAACACCAAAACUAUGGUUUGUAUUAUUGAUUUUUCAUUUUUCAAGUGAUUGUUAGUUAUCUAUGUUGACAGUGGGAUUUCAUGUUAAUAUUUGUUUCCUAACUAGAAUAAUUUGUUAGGGUUGUAUUAGAAAAAUUGGGCAAGAAGAUGAACAGUAGCAGUGAUUUGAGUUU